This 132-nucleotide long non-coding RNA is filed under the name Monodelphis domestica (gray short-tailed opossum). RNAcentral describes it as "lncRNA (ENSMODG00000032556.2)". The record is from RNAcentral. Lineage: Eukaryota; Metazoa; Chordata; Mammalia; Didelphimorphia; Didelphidae.
CCGGGAGCCUUGGACUCUGCGCUCCUACCCCUGAGAAAGGACCAAUGACAUCACUGGAUGAUGUCUUAAUACACAUGAAUUGGAUUUAAGUGUGACAGAGCUGCAGAGAGUCAUCAGACUCAUCCUCUUUCU